CUGCACCUGUGCAUGGCUGUCAUGAGCGAGCGUGUGUGUGUGUGUGUGUGUGUGUGUGUGUGUGUGUCCUACACAUGCUCCAGUGCUCUCACACCGCCGUCCUCUCCGUCUGCUCCUCCUGGGGUCUCCUGCUCACCUUCAUGCAGGUGAGUGAUGGACGAAAGCACCUUUGAGACAUUUGAGGAAGAGCUUGGUAAACCACUGCAAGAGGUUCCUCCUCAGAAACCUGUCAGACAAACACGAACAGGAGGCAGAACAGAGAUGUAUGCUCAGAGGAGGGUGCGAGAGGAAGCUCCAAUCGUCCAGCAGGUCCCAAAGAUGAUUCCACGGGAACAUCCGGUCUCCAGCGCCACAGCGUCGUUACGCAAAGCGUUCUCCAUCCAGAAUCUGACGCAGAUCGAGACACCGUGGGAAGGUGUGACGCUGAACAGGUGUCUGAUAGCAGCCAUAACCAUCCUUCUGCUGAGCUCCGUUUUACAGAGAAUACACGAAGCCGUCAGAGGCCGCAAAGACGUCAGUGAAGAGCUCAUAGCACUAAACGAGAGACAUACUCUGAUUAAAAGAGGGAAAAUAACACCACAUGAGCCAGACACUUCCUUAUGGGAAACAUUUUUCUGGUGGAUUGAUGAUGAUGAUGACGAAGGCAAAUCUAAGAGAGCGACUCGUGGGAGAGUUUCCAGGGGCCUCAGGCACCGGGCCCUUCCGGACCCCAGGCUCUUGAAGAAAAGAGAGACAAAAUUCACCGAGCGCAGAAGAAGACACGAAGUAGAUGAGACUAAAGAGAAACUGACAAAAGAGGAAGAGAUGAAAGUCAAGAAGAAGGUCGAAGAAGAGGAGGAGGACAUAGAGAAGAUGAAUAAACCGAAGAAACCAGCGAAAGAGAGCAAGCGAAAACCUAUGAAGAAAGAGAAUCAGUGACGUACCAACGCAUAAAGAAAAUAGGGCUGAUGGCAUAUGUGCUUAAAUUAUCAUGAAAAUAAUGCUAAAUAAUCUUAAUGGUCCUAAAAUGAUUACAUGUUUUCUUUUGAUUACAGGCUGAAAUAUUAUACACUCUCAGAUCUUGAUGCACUUCUCUAGUCAGUUGAUGAUCAUGUGUAUAAUUUGGUGCUUUUUUGCUUUGUAAAGUCCAUAUUUUUCAGAGACUUGAUAGUAACUUUACUGAAACCAUAAACCCCUCGAGACUUUUUUUACGACUGCAAGUAAAACUCACAAACAUUAUAUUCUAAUAGAGGACGUUAAGUUUCAGAUGCCACUGAAAUCACUGGUUACUGUCAGGUGAGAAUGAGAUCAAGAGGUUGCAUUAACAAGAAUUGGUUUAUAUCAAUGCAAGUUUAUUUUAAAUGUUUAAAACAAUAGUUAAGCGACAUUAUAAAGUAAUGCAAUG
Molecule: long non-coding RNA, 1384 nt
Filed under: Sinocyclocheilus anshuiensis
Lineage: Eukaryota; Metazoa; Chordata; Actinopteri; Cypriniformes; Cyprinidae
Description: lncRNA (ENSSANG00000012293.1)
Source: RNAcentral